RNAcentral lists this ribosomal RNA (359 nucleotides) under Tulasnellaceae sp. CBS 508.93. RNAcentral describes it as "eukaryotic LSU rRNA". It matches the Rfam family "Eukaryotic large subunit ribosomal RNA", at positions 67 to 420 of the family's 3401-position model. The record is from RNAcentral. Lineage: Eukaryota; Fungi; Basidiomycota; Agaricomycetes; Cantharellales; Tulasnellaceae.
AACAAGGAUUCCCCUAGUAACGGCGAGUGAAGCGGGAUGAGCUCAAAUUUCAAAUCUGGCGUCCUCCGGGCGUCCGAGUUGUAAUCUAGAGAAGCGUUUUCUGCGUUGGACCGACCAUAAGUUACCUCGAACGGUACAUCAUAGAGGGUGAGAAUCCCGUAUGUUGGUCGGAGCCCAGGGCUAUACGAUGCGCUCUCGACGAGUCGAGUUGUUUGGGAAUGCAGCUCAAAAUGGGAGGUAAAUUCCUUCUAAAGCUAAAUACAUUGGGAUGACCGAUAGCGAACAAGUACCGUGAGGGAAAGAUGAAAAGCACUUUGGAAAGAGAGUCAAACAGUACGUGAAAUUGUUAAAAGGGAAAC